Molecule: ribosomal RNA, 497 nt
Filed under: uncultured bacterium
Lineage: Bacteria
Description: partial 16S ribosomal RNA
Rfam family: Bacterial small subunit ribosomal RNA
Source: RNAcentral
GACGAACGCUGGCGGCGUGCCUAAUACAUGCAAGUUGAGCGCUGAAGGUUGGUACUUGUACCGACUGGAUGAGCAGCGAACGGGUGAGUAACGCGUGGGGAAUCUGCCUUUGAGCGGGGGACAACAUUUGGAAACGAAUGCUAAUACCGCAUAAAAACUUUAAACACAAGUUUUAAGUUUGAAAGAUGCAAUUGCAUCACUCAAAGAUGAUCCCGCGUUGUAUUAGCUAGUUGGUGAGGUAAAGGCUCACCAAGGCGAUGAUACAUAGCCGACCUGAGAGGGUGAUAGGCCCCAUUGGGACUGAGACACGGCCCAAACUCCUACGGGAGGCAGCAGUAGGGAAUCUUCGGAAAUGGACGAAAGUCUGACCGAGCAACGCCGCGUGAGUGAAGAAGGUUUUCGGAUCGUAAAACUCUGUUGGUAGAGAAGAACGUUGGUGAGAGUGGAAAGCUCAUCAAGUGACGGUAACUACCCAGAAAGGGACGGCUAACUACGUG